This 253-nucleotide ribosomal RNA is filed under the name uncultured bacterium. Its description in RNAcentral is "partial 16S ribosomal RNA". It matches the Rfam family "Bacterial small subunit ribosomal RNA", at positions 524 to 776 of the family's 1533-position model. The record is from RNAcentral.
UACGAAGGUCCCAAGCGUUGUUCGGAAUUACUGGGCGUAAAGGGAGCGUAGGCGGCGUGGUAAGUCAGAUGUGAAAUCCCGGGGCUCAACCCCGGAACUGCAUCCGAUACUGCCAUGCUAGAGGAUUGGAGAGGUAGCUGGAAUUCUUGGUGUAGCAGUGAAAUGCGUAGAGAUCAAGAGGAACACUCGUGGCGAAAGCGAGCUACUGGACAAUUCCUGACGCUGAGGCUCGAAGGCUAGGGUAGCGAAAGGG